AGGGUACGUGGCGAUGGUCUGAUGGAUCUAGUCUGAGUUACCGUAACUGGGCACCAGGAGAGCCAAACAACAAGGACGGCGAGGACUGUGGAGAGUAUAGAAGGGAGACUGACUUCACAGGAUGGAAUGAUCUAGACUGCAGGGAAACUAUCGGGGCUCUGUGUCAAACCGAUAUAGACGAAUGUGAUAGGAACAACGGACGUGGAGACUGCGACCACGUCUGUGAGAACACUGACGGAAGUUACAGAUGUUCCUGCCGUGAUGGAUACCGGCUGUCUGGGUCAACGAACUGCAUUGAAAUUGACGAAUGCGCAAGCGAUCCGUGCCACAAUGGAGGAACCUGCGAGAAUCUGAUCAACAGGUACAACUGCAUCUGUGUACCAGGAUGG
Branchiostoma floridae (Florida lancelet) is the source of this 389-nucleotide long non-coding RNA. RefSeq lists it as uncharacterized. The transcript has 3 exons. Lineage: Eukaryota; Metazoa; Chordata; Leptocardii; Amphioxiformes; Branchiostomatidae. The record is from RefSeq and is a predicted model, not a curated record.